GACGAACGCUGGCGGCGUGCUUAACACAUGCAAGUCGAGGGCAGGGAGCAAUCCCUGACCGGCGAACGGGUGCGUAACACGUGAGCGAUCUACCCUGGUGUGGGGGAUAGCCGGCCCAACGGCCGGGUAAUACCGCAUACGCUUGUCUGGCCGCAUGGUGGGGCAAGCAAAGCCUUCGGGCGCACUGGGAGGGGCUCGCGGCCUAUCAGCUAGUUGGCGGGGUAAUGGCCCACCAAGGCGACGACGGGUAGCUGGUCUGAGAGGAUGGCCAGCCACAUUGGGACUGAGAGACGGCCCAGAUUCCUACGGGAGGCAGCAGUGGGGAAUCUUGCGCAAUGGGCGAAAGCCUGACGCAGCGACGCCGCGUGCGGGAGGACGGCCUUCGGGUCGUAAACCGCUGUUGCCCGGGACGAAUGCUCCUUUCGAGGAGAGUGACGGUACCGGGUGAGGAAGCACCGGCUAACUCCGUGCCAGCAGCCGCGGUAAUACGGAGGGUGCGAGCGUUGUCCGGAAUCACUGGGCGUAAAGGGCGCGUAGGCGGCGCGAGGAGUCGGGGGUGAAAGUCCGGGGCUCAACCCCGGAUCGGCCUUCGAUACUCUCGCGCUCGAGCACAGUAGAGGCGGGUGGAAUUCCGGGUGUAGCGGUGGAAUGCGUAGAGAUCCGGAAGAACACCGGUGGCGAAGGCGGCCCGCUGGGCUGUGGCUGACGCUGAGGCGCGACAGCGUGGGGAGCAAACAGGAUUAGAUACCCUGGUAGUCCACGCCGUAAACGAUGGGCACUAGGGUGCCUGGGGGAGCGACCCCCUGGG
RNAcentral lists this ribosomal RNA (808 nucleotides) under uncultured Gemmatimonadota bacterium. Its description in RNAcentral is "bacterial SSU rRNA". It matches the Rfam family "Bacterial small subunit ribosomal RNA", at positions 28 to 843 of the family's 1533-position model. Lineage: Bacteria; Pseudomonadati; Gemmatimonadota. The record is from RNAcentral.